CCUCAACUCCGAAACGAAGCCUAAAAUUUCUUUUAAUCAAGGAAUGGUCAGUUGUUAACUAAAGAGGGGCAAAAUUGUCUGUUAAUUAAAAUUUGCUCUGGAACCUAAAUUUUAGUCUUCCUGAGUCCUUGGAUCCGUACUUCCGUCUUGACCUCUCUCCGUUGUCUGCGUCUGGAUUCGCCGUCUCCACCGGAACCGCGUUUGCUUCCGCCAAACCAUUAUGGCAUCCGCAUCUGUCAUCCGUCAUUCCAGCAACACAUCUGGCAUGACCGGAGAUAUUUGUUUAGGCUACCUCGCUUUAAAAACCCUAUCUUCUUUCCUACCAUCUCCCAGUCUCUCCUCUCCCCUCCCCUCCCCACAACAAAAGGGUUCUGGGUUUACAAAACUUAAGGAGAAUCACUCCUCAGAAGCCACCGCAGAGGUUUAAUAUAACCAAAAAACAUGAAAAUGAUAUUUUCAUGUUGGAUCAACAUAAUUGCCAUCGUGGCAGCAGCACGUAAUGGUUUCCUCACCAUCCCCGCCGUGGCAGCUGCCGCCGCCCCCAUCCCCGCAGAUUUUGAUGACCGCAUCAUCAUUGAUAUUUCUCGAACAAUGAGGAAUGGCAUGGCCACCUUUGGUUCUGUGACCGGUGCUCGGAAUUUAACAACUGAAAUCUUUGGCGGCCCUUAUAUAGAUGGUAUUCUCAAUAUCGGCACUCAUUAUGGCACCCAUGUUGAUUCCCCUUCACACAUUUUCCCGGAGCAGUUACUUCACCAGGUCCUGUUUUGGUCGUUCAGACUCCAAAUGGUGUAAAUAUAACUGGUCAAGUCAUUGACUCUUUGAAAAUUCCUAGAGGAGUAAAGCGUGUAAUUUUUAAGACACAAAACACUUACAGGAAGCUGAUGGAUCAACAAAAGUUUGAAGGAAAUUUUACAGGAUUUACGGUAGGUGGGGCACGGAGAUUGGUUCAGAAGACUGAUGUCACAUUUGUUGGAAUUGAUUACAUGUCUGUUGCUGUAGAAGGUCAAAUUGUCGGUGUUCACAAAAUCUUCUUAGGAGCAUCCAGGGUAAGGUUAUGUUUCUUCAAUUCUUCAUCCAGUCUUGAUUUGAGUCCCUACGAAACCGUCAGCUAAAAGAUAUCAGCAAGGCCAAUAACUUAUUUUUGCUAAUGUCACAUUACUAAGAAUGGGGACAGGUACGGUUAUGUUAGAUGAAGUUGUGUACAGUUAUUAUAUUUGUUACAUGUUUUGAGGUACCCUUUCUACAUGUGAAUUUUUUUUCUGCUCCUUUUCUUUUCCCUGCCAAAGUGUUGAAUUUUGUUACUUAAAGUAAAAUUGUUUAUAUAUAUGUACACCAAAUAUUGUAAGAAUACAACAACCUGACACAACUUCAUCUGCCCCAUGUCCAUAUUAGUGAGUGAAAUUCCCUUGCUCUCCCCAAAAACAUUUAGCGCACAUUGUUGAAUUAAUGGGCGCCCUAGGAAGACAAAGGUUUCUGAGCUGAAAUUCAUGAACUUAAUACCAAAUUGGCCAAAAAAAAACAUGUUUUUUACAUCGAUGUCUUCAAAGGGUUUGAGCCAAUAUAUUUAAAGCAUGAAAGAACUUUUCUGGCGGUUCAUUGUACAAAGCUUAAGCAAACCCCCUCCCCCAAAGAAAGAGCUCCUGCCACUUUGUCCUCUUAUGUCAUGAGCAGUGCAUUAAGUAAAAAUAGUCACUUUUAGGAAAAUUCAUCAUCUUAUAAAUAAACCUCAAUUCGAAUAAGGAUAUCUUCACUGCUAUGACCAUGAUGGACUGUACUGGUUUCUGAUGCCCUUUUUGCUUCAUAAUUGGUACUAAUGCAUUAAUAAGUUGCUUGAAAGAUUUUAUGAAUCCACAAUUUCCUACUCCAACUUGUGCAAAUUUUCAACCACAGAUCAUAUCACACACUAUGCUUCUGUUCUCAACAUUGAGUCUGUUGAGCCAUUUACUUGGUGAAUUUCUCGAGGAUGGGAGAAUUCCUCAAGCAUGUUCUAUAGUUAGUAGUGUGACUAAUGUGGCUGAAUCACUAGGGCAUUAUUCCAGUCGAAAACUUGAAACUUGACGAGGUUGAACCAGGAUGCUACACGGUCUACUGUUUACCGUUAAGGGUGCUGGCAGAGGCAGGACCAGCAAGGUGCAUUCUUGUGAAAUAAACAAUUCCUUUGGAGCCAAGAGUAGAUGUUAUCCCUCAAGGUCUUGUCAUGGAAUAUGGUCGCGAUCCAAUGGCUAUCUUCUAGAGGUCUUCUCAAGCAACCUGCACUUGGCUGGUGGACUCUUAACUUGUUUGAUUUGCAACUAUGAUCGGCAAGCACAGGCCUCGGGCACUAUCUUCGCGUCAGUAUGCGCACACUGAUAAUAUAGCUUGGGGAGGCAGGGCCCUUUUGUUUUUUUUGGUAAUUAACAUGUUUGUGUUUCCAGGGAAACUUCACCAUUGUUAGUUAACACUUGAUUAAUUCACGCAUACACCAGAGCUCCUCUUGCUCGCUUGUUCUUAUUCAUUUCUUUCUUUUAAUUCUGCUUUGUUGGUACAAUAAUACAGGGCCUCCAUCUCUUCUUUUGGAUAGCA
This is a non-coding RNA of Coffea arabica (coffee), 2562 nucleotides long. The record is from RefSeq and is a predicted model, not a curated record. Lineage: Eukaryota; Viridiplantae; Streptophyta; Magnoliopsida; Gentianales; Rubiaceae.